Molecule: ribosomal RNA, 709 nt
Filed under: Rhizopus stolonifer
Lineage: Eukaryota; Fungi; Mucoromycota; Mucoromycetes; Mucorales; Rhizopodaceae
Description: eukaryotic LSU rRNA
Rfam family: Eukaryotic large subunit ribosomal RNA
Source: RNAcentral
AUAUCAAUAAGCGGAGGAAAAGAAAAUAACAAUGAUUUCCCUAGUAACGGCGAGUGAAGAGGAAAGAGCUCAAAGUUGGAACCUGUUUGGCCUAGCUAAACAGGAUUGUAAACUGUAGAAGUGUUUUCCAGGCAAUCCGAGUUAAUAAGUCCUUUGGAACAGGGCAUCAUAGAGGGUGAGAAUCCCGUCUUUGAUUCGAGAUAUUUUGUCUUUUGCGAUACACUUUCAAAGAGUCAGGUUGUUUGGGAAUGCAGCCUAAAUUGGGUGGUAAAUCUCACCUAAAGCUAAAUAUUGGCGAGAAACCGAUAGCGAACAAGUACCGUGAGGGAAAGAUGAAAAGAACUUUGAAAAGAGAGUUAAACAGUAUGUGAAAUUGUUAAAAGGGAACCGUUUGGAGCCAGACUGGCUUGUCUGUAAUCAAUCUAGGUUUCGUGCCUGGAUGCACUUGCAGACUAUUUGCCUGCCAACGACAAUUUUUUUUGAGUGUAAAAACUAUUGGAAAUGUGGCCAAUAUUUAUUUAUUGGUGUUAUAGUCCUUUAGAAAAUACCUUGAAUUGGAUUGAGGAACGCAGCGAAUGCUUCUCUUUUGAGGCAAAGUCUUUUAUUGGGAUUUACGGAUCAGACUGUGGCAUUGUCACAAGACUUGAAGUUUAAACCUAUUUUUGAACUUUUAUUCGCUUAGGUUGUUGGCUUAAUGACUCUAAAUGAC